UAGAGUUUUGAUCCUGGCUCAGGACGAACGCUGGCGGCGUGCCUAAUACAUGCAAGUCGAACGCUUCUUUUUCCACCGGAGCUUGCUCCACCGGAAAAAGAGGAGUGGCGAACGGGUGAGUAACACGUGGGUAACCUGCCCAUCAGAAGGGGAUAACACUUGGAAACAGGUGCUAAUACCGUAUAACAAUCAAAACCGCAUGGUUUUGAUUUGAAAGGCGCUUUCGGGUGUCGCUGAUGGAUGGACCCGCGGUGCAUUAGCUAGUUGGUGAGGUAACGGCUCACCAAGGCCACGAUGCAUAGCCGACCUGAGAGGGUGAUCGGCCACAUUGGGACUGAGACACGGCCCAAACUCCUACGGGAGGCAGCAGUAGGGAAUCUUCGGCAAUGGACGAAAGUCUGACCGAGCAACGCCGCGUGAGUGAAGAAGGUUUUCGGAUCGUAAAACUCUGUUGUUAGAGAAGAACAAGGAUGAGAGUAACUGUCACCC
This 489-nucleotide ribosomal RNA is filed under the name Enterococcus faecium. RNAcentral's name for it is "bacterial SSU rRNA". It matches the Rfam family "Bacterial small subunit ribosomal RNA", at positions 1 to 470 of the family's 1533-position model. The record is from RNAcentral. Lineage: Bacteria; Bacillati; Bacillota; Bacilli; Lactobacillales; Enterococcaceae.